Molecule: long non-coding RNA, 481 nt
Organism: Gallus gallus (chicken)
Lineage: Eukaryota; Metazoa; Chordata; Aves; Galliformes; Phasianidae
Source: Ensembl
GACGCGGGCAAUACCACCACCACCCCCAGAGCUGGGAGCUGCUCGCUCCAUCCCUGCUCCUGGGCAGCCUGAUGGUGCAGCUCCUGCCCAGGUCCAUGCUUUGACAGUAGCCACUUCCCAGGAGCCUUUCCCAACAAAAGGGCCAUUUAGCUGCUGCUGCUUCCAGUCUGAGAACAUCAGAUACUUCUUCAGGCAUCAGAAGGGCUUUACACAAAUCACAACAAUGUAUGAAGAGAUGGAAAUUCUUAGAAAGCACUGUGAGAGAUCAAGCACCAAUAUGCUGCCCCACAUGCUUUUCAAAGCACUUCUCCAUACGCCAUACAACGAAGGAACUUCUUUGUAUGAUUCACCUGUACCGAACAGCGAUUGCUUUGGUAUUUUCCAGUCUUUUGGCUGCUUAACAUCUUCUGUAUCACAUACCUGAAUGGAGGCUGCAUUGCACCCAUGACUCAGACAUUUCUCUUGCAAUAAUUAUACUCCU